UAGGUAUGAUGGCCAACGAGCUCAGAUUUUGUGCUCUUGCAUCCCCCAUGUGGGCUGGAUGAAUCACCAUGGAAUGAACCUGGAAUUUUAACUGCUAGAAAGGAUUUAGACUACAUUGGAUGAGAAGAACUGUUGGAAGCCUUGAAGAGGCAAAAGGUUACGUUUGAAACCGGUCAAGAAGAUAGUACUGAAAUUCCGGAGGAGUUAAAGCUGAGGUUGGCAUAUAGGGAAGCAGCUGUGGCUG
Long non-coding RNA from Magnolia sinica, 244 nucleotides. RefSeq lists it as uncharacterized. NCBI's taxonomy places the organism in Eukaryota, Viridiplantae, Streptophyta, Magnoliopsida, Magnoliales, Magnoliaceae. The record is from RefSeq and is a predicted model, not a curated record. The transcript has 3 exons.